Molecule: long non-coding RNA, 2162 nt
Filed under: Triticum aestivum (bread wheat)
Lineage: Eukaryota; Viridiplantae; Streptophyta; Magnoliopsida; Poales; Poaceae
Description: long non-coding RNA (TAES_LNC005581)
Source: RNAcentral
AACAAACUAGCUUUCUAUUAUUACACGAAUAUGAUUACAAGGUCUCCGAUAUUACAAUGAAUAACAUCGGCACGGCAACACUACGCCAUCCUCAGUUGCUCUAUGCAAGCAGCAGAACAACUCGAAGCAGCGGAAUAACUCUAACAGCGGAAAAACUACUGGCAGCGGAACAACGACGGCGGUGGUGAACUCCAAUCCGCAGGGACUCUGGCUGGAACGCUUAUCCUAGCUUGCAAACAAAGAAUCCACGACAAACAAGCAUGCAAUCCAGGCACGACCUGCAAGCUGGCAUGCCACGCCAGGUCAGUACAUUGAAUGUACUUGCAAGCUCACAAUAAACCAGAAGCAUUCAAGACAAAUAACAGCAUGGAAAUUACAGGUUAAGCAGGAAUUAACAUGAGAUCCUCAUAAUAACAUGACAUGAACAACAUGACAUACAAAGUAGUACUCCCAAAAUAAUACCAACUACCAUCAUGAAAAUAAUCAUAAUAGCCACUAAGAAUCCAAAGGCAACAUGAACAUGAUACCGCUAGAACAAUAUGAGCAUGGCAUGAACAUAUGAAUCUGAUGAUACUAGCAUCCAACAUGAUAACACUACAUGCACCAAUUAUUCUGCUCGGGUUAUCUCGUAACCAUCACACGCAGCACUUACCAACCUCGGACAUCACACGAUCAUCUCAGGAUCAAAUCAAGCUUGGUAUAAACAAUACCGUAGUAAUCAUUAAAUGACCACAAGGAGCUUGAUCUUUACCCAUGAUUCUCGCACAACAUCACGAAUAUCAAACAACUCGGUAUCCUCGAUACCACCAUGAUCCUUCCGACGAUCACAACCACGACCAACACUUGGUCUCAAACCGUGAUCCUUACGGCGAUCACAACCACGACCAAUAUUUGGCUCAUGAUCCUUACGACGAUCACAACCACGACCAAUAUUUUGCCCGUGAUCCUUACAGCGAUCACAACCAAUUUAUCUCAUCUUCGAAUCGUGGUUGUUAUUAAUCAAGUUAUUAUUAAUAUUGUUGACUCACGGUGGGAUCUACACGAACUGGGCCCUUAUCCGUGGGCGCGGCUACCGAUAGAUUAAUAUACACUCUGUAGAGGUCAGCACACUGUACCCACACCACGGAACCCAUGGCUUCGCACUCCCAUUCGGGUGGACCAACGACGUUCCGACAAAACUUAUCUAUUGUCAUGACACUCUCCCGGCCACUUCGACCCACUGCCAACUGGGUUAGUCCUGGGUGGCCCCGUGUCUACGAAAGACACCCCGACCACCGUCGUGGUCAAACUCCCUCACGGGGAAAACUCCCUCACGGGGACCGGAUCCAUAAAAACAAUGGGCACACAAGGUUAUGUCUGCUUACCGGGCCAGGGUACGCACGCCCAUAACCUUCCCUAGUUGGAGGCACCGGCGGGAUGCAUGACAAUAGACCCAGUUAGGACCUUACCCAUACGGUAAGCGUGGUUGCACUGGUCAGUUUCGAUCUGGCGGCACCAUGACUCAGCCAACAGUUGUUCAAGUUCAAUUAAAUCCGAUUAAACUUGAAUGCAAUAUGCUGAGCCAUGAUAAAAUAACAUGAUGCAUUUACAAAGCAUGAGCAUGAUAUCAACAUAAGCACAGGAAGCAACACAACUGUCCAUCAUAUCAACUAUGAAAUAAUCUCAAACUGAACAUGGCAUAAUGACGAGCAUAAAUAUUACAAGUGCAACACUACUCAUAGUAUAACAUAACAUGACCACUAGCAUUAACCAUAAAUAACAUGCAAGAACUUAUCAAUAACAUCACCGAGUUACACUUAACCAACUAACAGCAACUGAACAAUGCCUAUUAACAAUACUCGGUAACCGACGUUAGUCAUGCACCGAAGAGCAUGACCAACCCAACAUGUACUACUAUCAAGCAUGGAAAUAUGAAAGUAAUACUAACAACUAGCAGGGCAUGAUAACCAGGUGCAUAACAACAUAGCAAACAAGUAGGCACUAACCCAGAAACAUUACUGAAACAACGAUAACCAUCUUUUAAACAAGCAAUCAUUUAAUAAAUAUUCAAGUUUAAAACCAUAGCUACUGCAUGACUAUCAUGCAAGUAGGUAUUGUGGCUUGCCUGGGGAUGAAGAAUACUCCGGGAAGAAGUGCGGUGAAGCCGCGGAAAGAUUUGCCGA